This 430-nucleotide unclassified non-coding RNA is filed under the name soil metagenome. Its description in RNAcentral is "partial contains 5.8S ribosomal RNA, internal transcribed spacer 2, and large subunit ribosomal RNA". The stretch from base 1 to 120 matches the Rfam family "5.8S ribosomal RNA", at positions 35 to 154 of the family's 154-position model. The record is from RNAcentral.
GAUGAAGAACGCAGCGAAAUGCGAUACGUAAUGUGAAUUGCAGAAUUCAGUGAAUCAUCGAAUCUUUGAACGCAUAUUGCGCUCUCUGGUAUUCCGGAGAGCAUGCUUGUUUGAGUAUCAGUAAACACCUCAACUCCCUCUUCUUUUUUGAAAUUGGAGCUGGACUUGAGUGAUCCCAACGCUUUCUUCCAAGAAAGUGGCGGGUUGCUUGAAAUGCAGGUGCAGCUGAACUUUUCUCUGAGCUAUAAGCAUAUCUAUUUAGUCUGCCUAAAAAACAGAUUAUUACCUUUGCUGCAGCUAACAUAAAGGAGACUAGUUCUUGUGCUGACUGAUGCAGGAUUCACAGAGACAGCUUCGGCUGACUUUGUAAACUCGAUCUCAAAUCAAGUAAGACUACCCGCUGAACUUAAGCAUAUCAAUAAGCGGAGGA